CUGGAGAGACAUGUGGAUUAUUUAUUACAAAGUCACUUGCUGGAAAGGUUAGAGGCUGAGAAGUAAUUAUUUUUUCCUUUUCUUCCUUUUUUUUUUUUCUCCUCUUUUUUUUUUUUUUUUUCCAAUGCUGGAAUCAUCAGGGGAGACCAGCUGAAGUUCCUCUGUGAAAUAUUCCAUCCUGCCUAAGUCCCCCUUUUGUCCCCUCUCCCAUGGCAGCCAAUGGGACUGGUCCUUCAAGGAGGAUGUUGAACUGGACCUCAUGAAGCCUUCAGUGCUGGGAGCGUGUUUUGGGCUGAAAUCCCUGCCCAGCACUCACCCUUUACACCUGGGAAUCCGAGGGGUUUCCCACUCUUAUUUCAGCAUGUCACAGCUGCAGCCAGGCUCAGUUUUGAGGCUGAGCUCACCUAACCAAGCAGGAAGGGCAGCUGGUUCACAUGGCAAGCCUGGCACACGACUGGUGCAAUUCCAAAACUAGAGCAGGAUCAGAGAGAUGCUCAGUGAUAAAUUAUUUCCACCACACAACCAGUGUGUUCUCUUUCUGGCUAGAUGGGAUCUUGCAAGAGGUACAUUUUGUGUUGUUUUGGGAUAUUCUAAGAGCUGAAAGGACAGGAGGAAAAUCCUGAUGUGUCUCUGCACUGAGAUGCUCUGACAAGAUAGAGUUUUUGAUACUUUUGAUAUUUACCCUAGAACAAUCCUAUUUAUUUUGAUCCUGUUUACCUGUUUACCUUCAGGACACCAUAACAAGAUGGAUCAGAUUGCUUGGGGGUAAUUCUAAAAAUUUCAGAAGAUAAAAAAUAACUACAUGAACAUGGGAUACUACAGCAGACACCUUGACUAGCCACAUAUUGGUAGUGUGGGCAGAUGGACUUCAUCUCGCUCGUGAAUAUUCAGAUGGAGCCUCACCUCUGCGGAGCGCGGUGAUGGAGCUGGGAGGAAUAACUGGAUGUGACACGCGGCUGAUCACGCACAGAUGGCACUUAACAAGGCAAAUGAGUGAGCUGAUGGGCUUCACUGGAGCCUCCAGACAAGGCAGAGAUGGAGUUUGCUUAGCCCUGGAGUUUGAGUGACCUGGGGAUAAUUCACAGAAGAGCUCUCCCUGUACCUGCUGAAAGGACACAUCUGGGUUCAGGGCAGCUGUAGCUGUCUAUUUCCUCUUUCCAAGCCCUCCAAGAUUUUUUCACUCUGGCAUUCUGGCCCUUCAAAAAUAUCUUCUCUAUUAACACAUCCCCCAGGAGAGCUGGAUAAU
Molecule: long non-coding RNA, 1246 nt
Filed under: Zonotrichia albicollis (white-throated sparrow)
Lineage: Eukaryota; Metazoa; Chordata; Aves; Passeriformes; Passerellidae
Description: lncRNA (ENSZALG00000004487.1)
Source: RNAcentral